CUGCUGGGGUGCUGGGUAAGGAGGCAGGGCAGGGUCGCUCCAGGGCAGGAUCAUUCUGUAGAUCCAGAUCCUUCUGAGGUGGCUUCGUUAAUCAAAGAGAAUGAACUUGCCAGAGACAAGAGAACAGUGCUGCAGCCAAGCAAAGAACAGUAGCUGUGCUUCUAAACUAGACUCUCCAAAGAGCCCAUGAACAUUUUCUAGACCAGCAUCCCAUCUCAUUCAGCCCUUCCUCCCUCUCAGAGUUUCCAGAUGUUUUACCAUCCUGAGGUCCAGCAUUAGCCAAUGGUCUUAAAAGGGACGCCUAGCAAAGAAAGGAAUAUGGGAGGUAUGGUCUGGUAGGGUGCCCUUUUCUGGGCAGUGUACUUCUGGAUGGUUGGAUGUUGAGACACUCACCUAUCUCCUAACUAUACUUUAACAUUUCCUGAACAUCUUUUGAAAAUCAUUAUUUUCAUGAUGUACAUUAUGUAAAAUAGUACAACCACUUUGGAAAACAAUUUGGCAUAGUAAAGCUGACCCAGCAAUUCCAUUUUCAGGUAUAUUCUCUAUAGAAUCUCUUGCAAAUACACAUGUAAAACAAUGUACAUAGUAACACUGUCUACAAAAGCAACAAAAACAAACAAAUGAACAAACAAAACUGGAAAUAGGUCAAAUGUCCACUGCCGGUUGGA
Bos taurus (domestic cattle) is the source of this 668-nucleotide long non-coding RNA. NCBI's taxonomy places the organism in Eukaryota, Metazoa, Chordata, Mammalia, Artiodactyla, Bovidae. The record is from Ensembl.